GAUGAACGCUAGCGGCAGGCUUAAUACAUGCAAGUCGUGGGGCAGCAGUUCCGUAGCAAUACGGGAGCUGGCGACCGGCAAACGGGUGCGGAACACGUACACAACCUUCCUUUAAGUGGGGAAUAGCCCAGAGAAAUUUAGAUUAAUACCCCGUAACAUUAUGAAGUGGCAUCACUUUAUAACUAUAGCUCCGGAACUUAAUGAUGGGUGUGCGUCUGAUUAGGUAGUUGGCGGAGUAAUAGCCCACCAAGCCUACGAUCAGUAACUGGUGUGAGAGCACGACCAGUCACACGGGCACGAAGACACGGGCCCGACUCCUACGGGAGGCAGCAGUAAGUAAUAUUGGGCAAUGGACGCAAGUCUGACCCAGCCAUGCCGCGUGGAGGAUGAAGAUCCUCUGGAUCGUAAACUUCUUUUAUCUGGGAAGAAAUCCAUCUUUUCUUGGGUGGUUGACGGUACCAGAUGAAUAAGCACCGGCUAACUCCGUGCCAGCCGCCGCCGUAA
RNAcentral lists this ribosomal RNA (504 nucleotides) under uncultured bacterium. Its description in RNAcentral is "partial 16S ribosomal RNA". It matches the Rfam family "Bacterial small subunit ribosomal RNA", at positions 28 to 523 of the family's 1533-position model. The record is from RNAcentral.